Molecule: long non-coding RNA, 628 nt
Organism: Gasterosteus aculeatus aculeatus (three-spined stickleback)
Lineage: Eukaryota; Metazoa; Chordata; Actinopteri; Perciformes; Gasterosteidae
Source: Ensembl
GGGUGGUGUCACCUGCAAACGUCAGGAGCCUGACGGACUGGUGACUGGAGGUGCAGCUGUUGGUGUACAGAGAGAGGAGCAGAAGGGAAAGAAAGCAGCCCUGGGGGAACCGUUGCUGAUGCAGAGAGAGCCUGAGACAUGUUUCACCAGCUUCACGUGCUGCUUCCUGUAAGACAGGAAGUCUGUGAUCUAAAUGCAAAGGAUCGACUGGCAAGGCAAGGGGAAGGAAGCCGCACAAGAUACUGGUCACGGGCUCAAAGCGAGCGAGCGAUCCGCGUCGGCGUCCAACCAUGGGAGAGAGCUGUCGGCAAGGUGGCCCAGCUGGCAGUGCCCAGGGCUCCCAGGGGCCCGAGAGCGGCCUGACGUGGAGAGUCAAGGGGGCUGAAGGAUGACAGGGGACAGCUGGAGAAGAGGAAGACUCUAAGGACCAAAGUUGACGGCGAGAGAGCCAUGGAUCAGGAGUACGGUUCAGCGUCUUCUUUUCCGUCUGUACGAUCACGAAAAACCCUUUGGGACUCCCUGCAAGUUUGUUUUUGUUUUUUGUUUUGAGCUUCUUAUACAUCUCAUGUAAUGUCUAAAUAUCCAUGUCUACAGUAAUUUGUAAUAUUGAGUCCACAGUACUCACCGG